ACAAAAAGAUCACUAUAUGAUGCGCCUACGUUUUGAGCUGGGGAAGACAGGUGAAAGUCCUGCGCUGCCCCCGCAACGGUAAAGGAUCGCGGCAAAAGCCGUAUCUGAGCCCGGUUACCAGCUCACAACGCUUUGGAGUUU
This 141-nucleotide non-coding RNA is filed under the name Oceanospirillum linum. The record is from RNAcentral. Lineage: Bacteria; Pseudomonadati; Pseudomonadota; Gammaproteobacteria; Oceanospirillales; Oceanospirillaceae.